AAUGGCUCCUAAAUUGCCCUUCUUCUAUCUUUUGAUAGCCUUCCUCUUUCUUACAAUCCAACCGUUUGUGUCUCAGUCCAGAAUCUUGAAAUCUGAGGACCAAACUUUGAAAUCCCUUCAAAUUUUGGAGGAAGUCCACAAGGGCCAAACAAUUGCUGGGCUCAAUAAAGUGAAAAAAUACCUCAACAAAUUUGGAUUCUAUGCAAAUCCAAAUGACAGCAAUCUAACCGAUGAUUUUGAUGAUCACUUGGAGUCUGCACUCAAAACGUACCAAAAAUAUUAUCAUCUCAACAUUACUGGAAGCCUCAACUCCAAUACCAUAAAAAAAAUGAUGAUACCUCGAUGUGGAGUUCCUGAUGAUAUCACCAAUCUCACAUCCCUGAACCAGUCCCUUUAUAAUUUCCCAAGAGGGUUUCCGAGAUGGUCUGAGUUUGAACUCACCUACUCGUUCAGCUCCAGUGUCCCUGAUGAUCAAGAUUUCAGGUCAGCUUUUGCACAAGCUUUUCAGAGCUGGGAAGGUGCAUCCCAAUUCAAGUUUAAAGAAGCAUCAGCUGAUGAAAAAGCAAAUAUUGUGAUUGGGUUUUACAGUGGUGAUCAUGGGGAUGGAGUGCCUUUUGAUGGGCCUGGCAGGGUUUUGGCUCAUUCUUUUUACCCACAAGAUGGAAGAUCCCAUUAUGAUGCAGACGAGAGUUGGAGUACAAAUCCUGACAUGAGCCACAUGGACUUGGAAUCUGUGGCUCUUCAUGAAUUAGGUCACGUUCUUGGACUUGCACAUAGUCAAGAUCCAAAUGCUGUUAUGCACUCAGGAAUUGCGCCUGGAACUAUCAAAAGGGAUCUCACUCAAGAUGAUACUCAAGGCAUACAAGCCUUGUAUCCUAAUUAAUUAGUCAUAUUAUAUAUGUAAGUUUUAAGAAAUAAGUGAUUGCAGAAAGGUAAAAUAUGUUACAAAAUUAAGUGAUGGAAUACAGUAGAUUUUAUGUGGUAUCCUACCACUGACAAGCUUAAGUAGGGGUGUGCACUAUUCGGUUUAAGCUAAAUAAACAGAAUUGAACCGAACCACUUUAAUUUAAUAUUUCAGUUCGGU
This 1084-nucleotide unclassified non-coding RNA is filed under the name Hevea brasiliensis (rubber tree). Lineage: Eukaryota; Viridiplantae; Streptophyta; Magnoliopsida; Malpighiales; Euphorbiaceae. The record is from RNAcentral.